Microcebus murinus (gray mouse lemur) is the source of this 367-nucleotide long non-coding RNA. RefSeq lists it as uncharacterized. The record is from RefSeq and is a predicted model, not a curated record. NCBI's taxonomy places the organism in Eukaryota, Metazoa, Chordata, Mammalia, Primates, Cheirogaleidae.
GUGGAUGGGGCCUCCCGUCCCCAAGUGAAUGAGAGCCCGUGCGCUUGCAUCCGUGUUGUGUCUUUCGGGAGCACCCAUGAAAGCAGAUGUUAAUGGACAACCAUGCACGCUCAUAGAGGUUCCACAAGGUACGGCCACUCCCGAGCCAAUGACAUUUCUGUGGACCAGUGAGAAUCCCUGACAAACAACUUCUGCAAAAGUGUGAACGCUUCAAGGCACCUUCAAGCCUGCACAAGACCACAGUCCUCUACCUUUGUGAUUGAAUCAACUCUCUUUGAAUGAGUAUCUCACCUUUGUGAUUAUCUUAGGUUGAUAAACGCUAUCUGUAUCUGUUUCUAAGCCUACCUGUCUGUCUAUAUCACUAUAU